This 472-nucleotide ribosomal RNA is filed under the name uncultured bacterium. Its description in RNAcentral is "bacterial SSU rRNA". It matches the Rfam family "Bacterial small subunit ribosomal RNA", at positions 328 to 792 of the family's 1533-position model. The record is from RNAcentral.
GCCCCAGACUCCUACGGGAGGCAGCAGUGGGGAAUUUUGGACAAUGGGCGCAAGCCUGAUCCAGCUAUUCCGCGUGUGGGAUGACGGCCCUUGGGUUGUAAAGUACUUUCAGCGGGGAGGAAGGCGAUAAGGUUAAUAACCUUGUUGAUUGACGUUACCCGCAGAAGAAGCACCGGCUAACUCCGUGCCAGCAGCCGCGGUAAUACGGAGGGUGCAAGCGUUAAUCGGAAUUACUGGGCGUAAAGCGCACGCAGGCGGUCUGUCAAGUCGGAUGUGAAAUCCCCGGGCUCAACCUGGGAACUGCAUUCGAAACUGGCAGGCUGGAGUCUUGGAGAGGGGGGUAGAAUUCCAGGUGUAGCGGUGAAAUGCGUAGAGAUCUGGAGGAAUACCGGUGGCGAAGGCGGCCCCCUGGACAAAGACUGACGCUCAGGUGCGAAAGCGUGGGGAGCAAACAGGAUUAGAUACCCCUGUA